This 971-nucleotide ribosomal RNA is filed under the name gut metagenome. RNAcentral's name for it is "bacterial SSU rRNA". It matches the Rfam family "Bacterial small subunit ribosomal RNA", at positions 8 to 992 of the family's 1533-position model. The record is from RNAcentral.
AGAGUUUGAUCCUGGCUCAGGACGAACGCUGGCGGCGCGCCUAACACAUGCAAGUCGAACGAGAGAUGAGGAGCUUGCUCUUCAAAUCGAGUGGCGAACGGGUGAGUAACGCGUGAGGAACCUGCCUCAAAGAGGGGGACAACAGUUGGAAACGACUGCUAAUACCGCAUAAGCCCACGGCUCGGCAUCGAGCAGAGGGAAAAGGAGCAAUCCGCUUUGAGAUGGCCUCGCGUCCGAUUAGCUAGUUGGUGAGGUAAUGGCCCACCAAGGCGACGAUCGGUAGCCGGACUGAGAGGUUGAACGGCCACAUUGGGACUGAGACACGGCCCAGACUCCUACGGGAGGCAGCAGUGGGGAAUAUUGCACAAUGGGGGAAACCCUGAUGCAGCGACGCCGCGUGGAGGAAGAAGGUCUUCGGAUUGUAAACUCCUGUUGUUGAGGAAGAUAAUGACGGUACUCAACAAGGAAGUGACGGCUAACUACGUGCCAGCAGCCGCGGUAAAACGUAGGUCACAAGCGUUGUCCGGAAUUACUGGGUGUAAAGGGAGCGCAGGCGGGAAGACAAGUUGGAAGUGAAAUCCAUGGGCUCAACCCAUGAACUGCUUUCAAAACUGUUUUUCUUGAGUAGUGCAGAGGUAGGCGGAAUUCCCGGUGUAGCGGUGGAAUGCGUAGAUAUCGGGAGGAACACCAGUGGCGAAGGCGGCCUACUGGGCACCAACUGACGCUGAGGCUCGAAAGUGUGGGUAGCAAACAGGAUUAGAUACCCUGGUAGUCCACACCGUAAACGAUGAUUACUAGGUGUUGGAGGAUUGACCCCUUCAGUGCCGCAGUUAACACAAUAAGUAAUCCACCUGGGGAGUACGACCGCAAGGUUGAAACUCAAAGGAAUUGACGGGGGCCCGCACAAGCAGUGGAGUAUGUGGUUUAAUUCGACGCAACGCGAAGAACCUUACCAAGUCUUGACAUCCUGC